Long non-coding RNA from Rhipicephalus microplus (southern cattle tick), 469 nucleotides. The record is from RefSeq and is a predicted model, not a curated record. Lineage: Eukaryota; Metazoa; Arthropoda; Arachnida; Ixodida; Ixodidae.
ACAUACCGGUAUAAAGCGAACCCUUUGACAAGCCUCAUUCUUCUGCGAAUUCUGGGAAACCUUCAAAGUCCCAUUUCGUUUUAUUCCAUUGCAUUGCUUGGAAAAUUCGGAGCUGCCAUUGUAUGAAGCAUUACCGCAUCGAGUCUCUUCGAAAUAUUCAAGCUUCUUCAAAAAAAUCGCUGGUUCCACAUCUGUUAACAAAUCAUGAUAUUGAAGCUGUUCGCGUUGUAUUGUGUGGUACACUGCGUAUUCGCCAGGAGUGAUAUCAAGAUACCAAAGUAUCCUCCAUGUUGCCGAAAACCACCAUGCCCAGUCGAAGAAAGAUACACAUGUCUCUGGGGAGUUGGUAGACAAAAAGUUGCGUGCGUGCCAUACGACAUGAGCAAGAAGGGUAUGAAAUUUCUCUGGAUGGAGCUCUGCCACCGAAAUUUGAGGUGCAGAAUGGUUAAAGAGGAUUUUGUGUGCAGAU